Molecule: non-coding RNA, 888 nt
Organism: Salvelinus sp. IW2-2015
Lineage: Eukaryota; Metazoa; Chordata; Actinopteri; Salmoniformes; Salmonidae
Source: RefSeq, a predicted model, not a curated record
AACAAGAAAACAGGUACUGAGGAAUGUGUAGGAAAAAUGCUGAAUAACAAGAAAACAGGAACUGAGGAAUGUGUAGAAACCAACAAAUCAGCUCAAUCUUCACAAACACCAUUCCGGACAUUUGAAUCCUGAGUGCUGUGUCUGGGCACCAUCGAUAGGCUGGCAAGUUUAAACCACGCUAAGCCUCUACUGUGACAGGCCAACUCUAAACCUUUUUGAGUGCAAUGUACAGUAGUAGACUCCCAACCAUCUAGUCAUAGAGAGGUUGUGAUCAUAUAAAACUCCGGCAUAGACGACAAGCACGCAGGUGAGAAAUACUAAAGUUCAACACAGCACUCAAAGCUCCUAGCUACAUACCUGCAGCUAAAUGAGUUUGUCCAGGUACUAUGAAUAUUUUCUAUAACCUGUCCAUCCUACAAAUAUUCAUGACUAUCAGUAAAAUACUCAUGAACUAAGUUCCCACUCUCCCCUUUCCUUCAUAUCAGGGCUAAAGACAUCCAUACUGAACCAGUGAACCAGUGGCUGGAGGACGACUUUGAGUGGCCCGACAGGCCAACUACGAGUGGCGACUGAGAAUGACCCUAACCCACCUUAUGGUGGCUGAGUGGGCUUGCAGUACGAGGCAGACUCCUCCACGUCUCCCUACCAUGGAACACAGGCACAGGUGUCCAGGGAGAGGUUUGAGACCAUCUACCACGACUACAGUUCCUGGGGUGCUGAUAGGGACACCAUACAAGACAUAGACACCUGAACCGACCUCUUCGGGGCAACGUUUUGCAUUGAGUGACCCUGGCAGCCAAUCAAAGUUUAUGAUCAGCAGACCAGAGAUAAAGUCACUCUGAGAUGUAGUGGAUCAUCCUUUAAAUCAGUGUUUCAUCGACAACCGGG